GACGAACGCUGGCGGCGUGCUUAACACAUGCAAGUCGAACGGAAAGGCCCUGCUUUUGUGGGGUGCUCGAGUGGCGAACGGGUGAGUAACACGUGAGUAACCUGCCCUUGACUUUGGGAUAACUUCAGGAAACUGGGGCUAAUAACGGAUAGGAGCUCCUGCUGCAUGGUGGGGGUUGGAAAGUUUCGGCGGUUGGGGAUGGACUCGCGGGUUAUCAGCUUGUUGGUGGGGUAGUGGCUUACCAAGGCUUUGAAGGGUAGCCGGCCUGAGAGGGUGACCGGCCACAUUGGGACUGAGAUACGGCCCAGACUCCUACGGUAGGCAGCAGUGGGGAAUAUUGCACAAUGGGCGGAAGCCUGAUGCAGCAACGCCGCGUGCGGGAUGACGGCUUUCGUGGUGUAAACCGCUUUCGCCUGUGACGAAGCGUGAGUGACGGUAAUGGGUAAAGAAGCACCGGCUAACUACGUG
Molecule: ribosomal RNA, 468 nt
Filed under: uncultured bacterium
Lineage: Bacteria
Description: partial 16S ribosomal RNA
Rfam family: Bacterial small subunit ribosomal RNA
Source: RNAcentral